UUUUUCUUCCCAUUAUACCCCUCUUAACCUUCUUUCAUCAAUUCUAACCUAUGAUAAAACUGAAACCGUCUAAAAUGAUAAUCACCUUCUUCAAUGUGCAAUUCAAUUCAUACCUUUAAGUCUUCAACCCCUCCGACUUCACUUAAAUCAGCCUUCAAUUAGGCAAACCAAGCAAAUUGGACUUCAAUUUAUUCAAUGGAGCAUGCCUUCAAUUCGAUUUCGGUAUUAAAGAAGUAAUCUCAUCACCCUGGUCUUUUUAAUCCCAUCCCCUGGUUGUUCAUGCCAUAUUUUGAGACUUGAACUCGAACGAAACACAACAAUAACCGGAAUAUCUGAAGCCACCAGCUAUGGAGUCUGUGCUCUCCUUCUAUUUGCCACCGUGUUUGAUUCUUUCAUCUCAACAUCCCAAUGCAGGUAACUCUAAUUUCAAUCGUUAGGGUUUUGAUUGAUGAUUUGUUGUUUUUUUUCUUGCUUUUUAUAAUAGAUCUGGAUUCUGGAAACUGCUGCUUCAUGCUUACUACAAUUAGUAUUGACAUAGCCUUAACAUAAAUUGCUAUCAAAUAAGUGAAUGAUGUUAAAUUGUGGCGUAUACCAUACUAUUUCUUGGAAUCUAGCUUUUGAUUGGAUGGUUUGAACUUAAUUUGAUUGAUUUCUAAAUGAACAAACGAAGAUAUACCCGGAAAACAUUUUUUGCUGAUGCGAUUUAUAUAUUGGAUGAUAGAUAUUUGCCUGGUUCAGAUCAUUUGACUUUGGGAUUAAAGGAGCAUGAUGAUUUUGGGGAUUUAGGGUUCGACGGACGGUUUCAAGGUAAGUCAGUUCAAGGCUUGACAUUGGUGUUUGAUAUUGUGUAAUAAAUGUGAUUUUGAUUUGAUUAGUUAAAUCCAAAAUAAUCAAAUUAAGUGUGGAUAUUCAAGAUCAUUAUGGUUUGAGUGCACUACUGUUAUUCAAAGACUUGAAACAAGAAGACAUACUGGUAUUUGUAUAUAUGUUGUGGAUGCUAAUGUGCUUAUAAUUAAAAAGAUAUUUUUCAACUUGUAUGUUAACCUAAACAAGUUUUGAUUCAGAACCUAAACAAAUUAAAAAAAAAUAUUUUUCAACUUGUGUGUUCGUGAGUUGGCGGGUUGAACCCGGCACAAACUCAGAAAUUUUGACACGAACCUGAAAAUCGUAUUUGACACGUGAGCCGAAAAUAGUGUGCCUUCGCCGUAUAAUGAUGGUCUUUUGCCUUCGCCUACCGGGAAGGAUAAUGCUGGUCAGCUUGAUAUUGGGGCUUCGACGAAAGCACCUUUGUUAAGGAAGUCUAGCAAGCAAGAAAAGAGAAAGAUGAGAGAUCAUGUGAUUUCGGUUAGAGAAAAUGGGGUCGUGGAGGAACAUAGUAAGUCUGCGGAUAAACAGGGGACUAAGGUGGAUUCUUCGAGACUAGAUCUGACGAAUCAAGGUGGGUCUAUGGCGGGUCUUUCUUUGUCAAAAGAAGUAAGUUCGAUGAGCAGGUCGAGUCCUCAAACAAUAACAAAUAAGCGGUGUCGCCAAUUGGUUGUGAAAUGGGUCAAAUAAAAAACUCGGGGGAAGUCUCCAUCUUACUAUCAUUCUUCUUUCAACAAAAGUUGUGACAAUAUCUUUAUCAAAAAUCAACGGGCGGGCAUAGGUAAUGCAAUAAAAGGAAAUACAAAAAAAGUUCAUCAUUGUGGCUCACUUUUCAACAGUUGCUUCUCUGUUUUCAGGGUAUCUAUUGGCAUUUUGACAAGCGUAUAUAUAUUCCACUACCAGAUAUGAGUGCUUGACAACACGUCUAGGUGGCCAGGAUGACCCAUUUGUCUGGCCUCUUUGGUGCCUUUUAUAUAGAGCUUGUUGAUGGGAAGCUAUCUCAAACUUGUUAUCUUGUGGCACUUAUUUUGACUCAAAUAUACUAAAUUAUAUUACAAAAUGGUAAUAACUUGUACAUUUUCACUGCUUCAUAUAAUCAUUUGAAUUGAUUUUGGAAGAUUCUUAUACGAGUGAGGACGUUAUUGUAAUUAUAUUACACUCGAAUCAUUUCUUCGUC
Long non-coding RNA from Helianthus annuus (common sunflower), 2041 nucleotides. RefSeq lists it as uncharacterized. The transcript is spliced from 7 exons. NCBI's taxonomy places the organism in Eukaryota, Viridiplantae, Streptophyta, Magnoliopsida, Asterales, Asteraceae. The record is from RefSeq and is a predicted model, not a curated record.